GACGAACGCUGGCGGCGUGCCUAAUACAUGCAAGUAGAACGCUGAAGGAGGAGCUUGCUUCUCUGGAUGAGUUGCGAACGGGUGAGUAACACGUAGGUAACCUGCCUGGUAGCGGGGGAGAACUCUUGGAAACGCUAGAUAAUACCGCAUAAGAGUAGAUGUCGCAUGACAUUUGCUUAAAAGGUGCAAUUGCAUCACUACCAGAUGGACCUGCGUUGGAUUAGCUAGUUGGUGAGGUAACGGCUCACCAAGGCAACGAUACAUCGCCGACCUGGGAGGGGGAUCGGCCACACUGGGACUGAGACACGGCCCAGACUCCUACGGGAGGCAGCAAUAGGGGAUCUUCGGCAAUUGACGGAAGGCUGACCGAGCAACGCCGCGUGAGGGGAGAAGGUUUUCGGAUCGUAAAGCUCUGUUGUAAGGGAAGAAAGAGUGUGGGAGUGGAAAGUUCACACUGUGACGGUAUCUAACCAGAAAGGGACGGCUAACUACGUG
This 495-nucleotide ribosomal RNA is filed under the name uncultured bacterium. RNAcentral's name for it is "partial 16S ribosomal RNA". It matches the Rfam family "Bacterial small subunit ribosomal RNA", at positions 28 to 507 of the family's 1533-position model. The record is from RNAcentral.